Nycticebus coucang (slow loris) is the source of this 2707-nucleotide RNA transcript. It is a transcript of the gene named mitochondrial ribosomal protein L30, with no coding region annotated. Lineage: Eukaryota; Metazoa; Chordata; Mammalia; Primates; Lorisidae. The record is from RefSeq and is a predicted model, not a curated record. The transcript has 8 exons.
UUCGCCGGAACCAAAAUUCGUAGGUCGCGACCACUGAGACGGCAGACUUUGAAUGUCGCACUUGGUUCUUGCACUUCCCCUCGGUGGAAAGUUCACGUUGAGCGUCUGGCGGGCGCUGGUGAGUGGAGUCUGAGUGGCUGAAAGUAUUGGACUUUAAGCCAGGGCCUCUAAAGAGAAUAAUCAGCACACUAUGGCAGGGAUUUUGUGUACAGUAGUUCAGAGGCCAUUAGGCAGACUACAGACUGUGACAAAAGGCGUGGAGUCUCUUGUUUGUACAGAUUGGAUUCGUCACAAAUUUACCAAGUCAAGAAUUCCAGAUAAAGUGUUUCAGCCUUCACCUGCAGAUCAUGAAAAGUAUGGUGGGGAUCCACAGAACCCCCAUAAACUGCAUAUUGUUACUAGAAUAAAAAGUACAAAAAGACGUCCAUACUGGGAAAAAGAUACAAUAAAGAUGCUUGGAUUAGAAAAAGCACAUACCCCUCAAGUUCACAAGAAUAUCCCUUCAGUGAAUACAAAACUGAAAGUGGUCAAACAUUUGAUAAGAAUCAAGCCCCUGAAGCUGCCACAAGGACUUCCAACAGAGGCAGACAUGUCUAACACGUGUCUCAAGAGCACUGGAGAAUUAGUAAUACAGUGGCACCUGAAACCUGUGGAGCAGAAAAGUUAAGUCCUGAUGCCAGAACAGCUUCAGAUUAAACAAUGCAAAUUGUUUUAAAAUGAUGAGAAUGUUGUCAUUAAAAUAGAUUUUAAAUACCAGUCAUUCUCGCUGAGUAAGCCUGCUGUGAUUCUUCCUUACUAUAGACUCUGAGAUUUUAGUUUAAAGUUUAAUUCUCUCCCUUUUCCCUUUUUUUUCUUUUUUGUUUUGUUUUGUUUGCAAUAGGGAGCUCUUACUCUGUCACCCAGGCUGGAAUUUAGUGGCAUCAACAUAGCUCACUAUGACUUCAAACUCCUGGACUUAAGCAGUCCUCUUACCCUAGCCUUUCAAGUAGCUGGGACAAAACCACAAAACCAAGCCAACAUUUUAAUUUUUUGUAUAGAGAUAAGGUCUUAUUGUACUGCCAAGGCUGGUCUAGAAUUCCUGGCCUCCUGUGAUCCUCCUGCCUGAGCCUCCCAAGGAGCUGGGAUUACAGGCAUGAACCACCAUGCCUGGCUCUUUUCCUUCUACAGUUUCACUCUAAAAUGGCAAAUAGCCCUCAGACAUCUAAGGGUAAUUAUUCCCAAGGGAGACAACAGCAUAGUGGUCCGCAUCUGGGACCUAGGUAAGCCAGGUCUGCAGACCUGACCAGCCCCGGGCCUGACAAGUGGCAACCCAGAUGGGACCCGGCAAGUUGUGACUACGAAGGGACCCAAUAAAGUUUCCCCACACUCUCCUAAGAUUUAUUAUGGAAAGAGUGAUCUUCUGGGUCUCUUUCUAGGUCAGUCUAAUCAGUUUUUACAUACAGGAUGUGGCACCUGCGGUUAAAAUCGUAUGUGUGCAAGAUAUGGGAUCCCAUAACCCUAGGUCAUAGGCACCCAAAAGAAUUCUAAAUUCUUCUAUGAAUAGUUGCUGGUAUUAUCUUGGUUUAGAAAAAUCCUUAAUUUAGCUCAGUUCCAAGUUUUAGAUUCUACAUUUGUCUGCAGACCUGGCUCAUCUAGGGAGUUUGAGCAAUAGGAAGAGGAGGGAGGUGUCAGUCAGUAGAGGUAGAGAAAAAGAGUAGAAGGAUAAGGGGAAGAGGGGGAGCUGGAUGUGGGCAAGUCACUGGAGGAUAAGAGGAGGGGAAUUUACUGGAGCGAUGAAUCCAUUUGUUAAGUUUGUCAAAUUGUUCAUUACCUUUGGCUAAACAAUCUUUUAGUGUAACAAUUUUUGAAUCAGACACUUGGAGUCCCUUGCAUACCAAUUUAAAAAAAUUUCUUCCCAUAAAGUGAGAGAAAUCUUAUUCCUUUUUUCCCUAAGAUGCCUCUCAAAUGAACAAUUUUCAAGUGAAAUUUCUCCAGAGUGUCAUUGAAAGCUCAAAUCAUCCUUGGUGAAAUUAUGCCAGUUAGAGAGUGAGGCCUGAGAUUAAGAUUGUGAUGUGUGUGCAAAUAAGAAGUAGCAGUUUUUCCUGGAGGAGGAGAGGAUUUAGAUUUAGACAAUCCCAUGAGAAGUGGCAAUAGUCCAAAGUGAUGCCUGUGCACUUCAUAUAUCAGGUUCCUAUUUAGCAGGUUGGAUACCUCCAAAUGCAGACCUGACAAUCUGUAUUCCCCAGGUAGCCAGAAAAUCAGAGAUUUCUCCUGAAUCUUUGUCUGUCUGUAGUCAGUUCUCACUUUGGGGGUUUGGACUGCUUAGAGUUUAUGCUGGGGACUACUAGAGGAAAAAAAUAAUGGUAAACUCACCAACAGUUUGAUAGCAUUAUCAUAUCAAAUUCUGGUGUUCUUCCCUGAUAAUCCUGCUGAUAUUUAUAUUUUGGAGUUUUUAAACAGCUGCUUAUGCAUCUAUCCAGGUUUUGCAGUUGUUUUCAGAGGAGGAGAAAAUUUGGCAUUUGUUUACUCCACCUUAUGUAGCACUGAAUCCUUCACCUAAUGUCAUAUGGUCAAAAUAUGUAAAGAAAAAAUAUCAGGACUAAAAGAGGAAACAGAAAAUUUUUAUAAUUAUAAUUGGAAAACUUAAUACUCUCCUAUCAAAAAGUAUUAGAGAGUUCUCCCUCUCCCAACAUGGCGACCUAAGCAAAAAAAGGAGGAGGAGGAGGAG